RNAcentral lists this ribosomal RNA (523 nucleotides) under uncultured bacterium. RNAcentral describes it as "bacterial SSU rRNA". It matches the Rfam family "Bacterial small subunit ribosomal RNA", at positions 404 to 917 of the family's 1533-position model. The record is from RNAcentral.
AGUGAAGAAGGUCUUCGGAUCGUAAAACUCUGUUAUUAGGGAAGAACAAAUGUGUAAGUAACUGUGCACGUCUUGACGGUACCUAAUCAGAAAGCCACGGCUAACUACGUGCCAGCAGCCGCGGUAAUACGUAGGUGGCAAGCGUUAUCCGGAAUUAUUGGGCGUAAAGCGCGCGUAGGCGGUUUUUUAAGUCUGAUGUGAAAGCCCACGGCUCAACCGUGGAGGGUCAUUGGAAACUGGAAAACUUGAGUGCAGAAGAGGAAAGUGGAAUUCCAUGUGUAGCGGUGAAAUGCGCAGAGAUAUGGAGGAACACCAGUGGCGAAGGCGACUUUCUGGUCUGUAACUGACGCUGAUGUGCGAAAGCGUGGGGAUCAAACAGGAUUAGAUACCCUGGUAGUCCACGCCGUAAACGAUGAGUGCUAAGUGUUAGGGGGUUUCCGCCCCUUAGUGCUGCAGCUAACGCAUUAAGCACUCCGCCUGGGGAGUACGACCGCAAGGUUGAAACUCAAAGGAAUUUGACGGA